This 1431-nucleotide ribosomal RNA is filed under the name uncultured bacterium. RNAcentral's name for it is "bacterial SSU rRNA". It matches the Rfam family "Bacterial small subunit ribosomal RNA". The record is from RNAcentral.
GACGAACGCUGGCGGCGCGCUUAACACAUGCAAGUCGGACGGUUUGCGCUGGAAGGUUCGCCGGAAGGCGCAGAUAGUGGCGGACGGGUGAGUAACGCGUGAGGACAUGUCUGCAGGAGGGGGAUAACGUUUGGAAACGGACGCUAAGACCCCGUAAGCCGGGAGGUAAAAGUGGCGAAAGCCAGCCUGUGGAGUGACUCGCGUCCUAUCAGCUAGUUGGCGGGGUGAAGGCCCACCAAGGCGAUGACGGGUAGCCGACCUGAGAGGGUGGCCGGCCACACUGGAACUGAGAUACGGUCCAGACUCCUACGGGAGGCAGCAGUGGGGAAUAUUGCGCAAUGGGGGAAACCCUGACGCAGCAACGCCGCGUGAGUGAUGAAGGCUUUCGAGUCGUAAAACUCUGUCUUCGGGGACGAUAAUGACGGUACCCGAGGAGGAAGCCCCGGCUAACUACGUGCCAGCAGCCGCGGUAAUACGUAGGGGGCAAGCGUUGUCCGGAAUCACUGGGCGUAAAGGGCGCGUAGGCGGUUUGUUAAGUCAGGUGUGAAAGUUUUCAGCUUAACUGGAAAAGUGCACUUGAAACUAACUUACUUGAGUACUGGAGAGGUAAGCGGAAUUCCUAGUGUAGCGGUGAAAUGCGUAGAUAUUAGGAAGAACACCGGUGGCGAAGGCGGCUUACUGGACAGAGACUGACGCUGAGGCGCGAAAGCGUGGGGAGCGGACAGGAUUAGAUACCCUGGUAGUCCACGCCGUAAACGAUGAGUAUUAGGUGUUGCCGAGAGGCAGUGCCGCAGUUAACACAAUAAAUACUCCGCCUGGGGAGUACGGUCGCAAGACUGAAACUCAAAGGAAUUGACGGGACCCCGCACAAGUAGCGGAGCAUGUGGUUUAAUUCGAAGCAACGCGAAGAACCUUACCAGGUCUUGACAUCCUCUGACGACGCUAGAGAUAGCGUUUUCCUUUCGGGGACAGAGAGACAGGUGGUGCAUGGUUGUCGUCAGCUCGUGUCGUGAGAUGUUGGGUUAAGUCCCGCAACGAGCGCAACCCUCGUCCAAUGUUGCCAGCGGGUUAUGCCGGGGACUCAUUGGAGACCGCCGGGGUCAACUCGGAGGAAGGUGGGGAUGACGUCAAGUCAUCAUGCCCCUUAUGUCCAGGGCUUCACGCAUGCUACAAUGGCCGGUACAAAGAGUUGCGAGCCUGUGAGGGUGAGCGAAUCUCAAAAAGCCGGUCUCAGUUCGGAUUGGGGUCUGCAACUCGACCCCAUGAAGUCGGAGUCGCUAGUAAUCGCAGAUCAGCAACGCUGCGGUGAAUACGUUCCCGGGGCUUGUACACACCGCCCGUCAAGUCAUGAAAGUCGGUAACACCCGAAGCCGGUGGCCUAACCCGUUUGGGGGGGAGCUGUCGMAGGUGGGAGUGGUAAUUAGGACUAAG